GUUCUUUUUUCCCACUGCCUACCCUACAGACAACUAAGAGAAAGUUGUGCAAUGUGCUGUGUGGUUGUGCUGUAAGGAAAACUGCACAGUGCAUCUGGUUGCUUGUGGACUAAGCAGAAAGGGAGACACUGUGCUGGGUAAUACUGUGCUGAUCUCCAGAGUCAGAGGCCAGCCCUUGUCCAAAUAGCAGCAUCUUUUCUGCUUCAUAUAAGGAGGGGAUGGAAGAAGGGGGCAGAUCAUGCCUGGUUGUGGACUUAUGAUGAAGCCAGGAUGUGGUUCUGAGUUCACUGCAUACAUCUGGACAUUCAAAUUUGAUAAAGACUGAAGGGCUAAUUCCUUUUUCUCUUCUCACUAUGGAAAUCACAUGGAAGCAGCAGGAGGAUUCCUAGCCUUGCACUAUUUCCUUCCCCUGUGAUCAUGAAGUUCUAUUGCUGCAUGAGCCCUGCUGCCUACCAUUUCAGAGAAGCUCAGCAAGAGAAUCCAAAGCUCAAGCUGGACUUCUGUUGCUGCUGGGGCAAGAACUUUCAGUGGAAUUCAAAACAGUCAGAAGCUAAGUAAGAAGCUGAGCAGAAUUUAUCAAUAACAAUCAACAGAAAGGGCAAGGGGAAGAUGUUUGGUUGGCUUUGUGUAGCUGCUGAGGAGACCUGCAUGGGAAGUGGGACCUUUCCCAGGAAUUGUGAGGCCACCUGCGACUUUAAACCUUCCUUCCUUCUACAAGUUAAAUGGUACCAUGAGGAUUCCAGUACUAGGAAUGCUGGUAUUUCUCUGGACCUCCAAACCUCAAGAUGUAACAGAUGUAACCUGAGCUUUGGGCAAAAUUGGCUCCUGAAUCUCACGCUAUGGCUUGAGUCCCAUCUCUAGGUUUAAGGUGACACCAGUCUGAGUCUCACCAUGAGGAGAGCUGCACGAGCAAGUCCUCCCUGCCAUCCAAGG
RNAcentral lists this long non-coding RNA (933 nucleotides) under Anas platyrhynchos platyrhynchos (common mallard). RNAcentral describes it as "lncRNA (ENSAPLG00000026447.1)". Lineage: Eukaryota; Metazoa; Chordata; Aves; Anseriformes; Anatidae. The record is from RNAcentral.